GCGGCAGUGGCCGUGGCCCUGGCCGUGGGAGGCGGGCCCGGCGGAGCCCAGCCGCGCGGGGACCGGCCCCAGCGCCCGCUCCCCCAGCGUCGCGGCCGCGCGGCCCGGCGAAGCCUGGAGACCCCCCCCCCCCCACGCCGGGCGCAGUCGCGAUGUCGGUGGCGGGGCUGAAGAAGCAGUUCCACAAAGCCAGCCAGCUAUUCAGUGAAAAAAUAAGUGGCGUCGAAGGAACGAAACUAGAUGAUGAAUUUCUUGACAUGGAGAGGAAAAUAGACAUUACCAAUAAAGCUGUUGCAGAAAUUAUUUCGAAAGCCACAGAAUAUCUUCAGCCAAAUCCAGCAUACAGAGCUAAGCUGGGAAUGCUGAACACUGUGUCGAAGAUUCGAGGACAGGUGAAAACCACCGGCUACCCCCAGACGGAAGGCUUGCUGGGCGACUGUAUGCUGAAGUACGGGAAGGAGCUGGGCGAAGGCUCCGCGUUCGGCAAUGCAUUGAUAGAAGUUGGGGAAUCCAUGAAGCUAAUGGCUGAGGUGAAAGACUCUCUUGAUAUUAACGUAAAGCAAACUUUUAUUGACCCACUUCAGUUACUCCAAGACAAAGAUCUAAAAGAGAUUGGGCACCACCUGAAAAAGCUGGAAGGCCGCCGCCUGGAUUAUGAUUAUAAAAAGAAGCGAGUAGGUAAGAUACCAGAUGAAGAAGUCAGACAAGCAGUAGAAAAAUUUGAAGAGUCAAAGGAGUUGGCUGAAAGAAGCAUGUUUAAUUUUUUAGAAAACGAUGUAGAACAAGUCAGCCAGUUGGCUGUGUUUAUAGAGGCAGCUUUAGACUAUCACAAACAGUCCACGGAGAUCCUGCAGGAGUUACAGAGCAAUCUGCAGAUGCGAAUAUCAGCUGCAUCCAGUGUCCCCAGACGAGAGUAUAAGCCACGGCCCAUCAAAAGGAGUCCUAGUGAGCUCAAUGGGGUGUCCACCACCUCAUCGGCAAAGACAGCAGCCUACAGCAGACUGGAAGCAGCAGAUUAGGAAGGCCGAGGGACUGCUUCGGGAAGGCCCACUGACGGCAGAAAAGUGACAGGUCGCAGCCCAGCGACAAGGGAGGCAAGAGAAAGACUAAAAAAACAAAACAGCAGGAACAAAAAGUCAAAAGGCACAGCAGUCUGGGGCAUUUACUAAAAGACAAAGAGCCUCCUCAGUCAGCGCCAGGAGGAGAAAUCCAGCCCUGGAGAACCGGCCCCCAGAUCCCGGCGUGUGGCAAAGGAAGGGGGAGAGAGCACAGGAGUAGACCGGGCUGCAGAAACGCCAGGCCCAUCAGAUGCCACAUCUACUCUGGUGGCUGAUGCACCACCCGAGUCUACUCCUGUAAUUUGCUUUGUUUUUUUUGUUGUUGUUGUUUGUUUGUUUGUUUUUUAAUUGAAGCCUGAGCUGCUCACUUUGAAACAGGGGCUCAGGCAGAAGAAAACAGGACAGAGAAUAAGUACCCAAAGGACAUGCCUAGAGUAUGUGGGACCUGGGUAGAGCUUUGAGGACCAGGGAAGGAUUUAGGGGAGAAUGCUCCCAAAGAGCAUUCCAGGGCCUGGGAGCUUCCCAGAGCAUGCCAAGCUGAGGAUGCACAGGCUCACCAAGCCCAACUGAUACACCCCGCUCCCCACCCUCACCCCCACCCCUGGCUUGGGGUUGGCUCAGAAACUGAGGGGGGAUGAACUCACAAGCUAAUGAUUUUCAGAUCAAGAGCAGACUCUGGGCCCAGAUGGAGGUCAAGUCUCAGCCUCGUUGCUGAACUGCUUUGAACCUGUAUAUGCCUUAAUUUCUCCAUCCCUCAAAUUGGGGGGAAUAACGGUACCGAAGUAAAUCCACUGAUGUCAGUGAGGCACUUAGAAUUUUGUCCUGGCUUUGAGGGUUAUGUUGUCAUCCCUGUUGCUGAUGGGGGCUGAGGGCCAUGGAGCCACCACCAGGAUGAGAUGUGUGAGGCAUCUCUGUAUGAGUGAGUAGCCCUCUGCAUCAGGGACUUGGGGAAACAGAAGGUGGGGUGGGGAGGGCACUCCCCAGAAUUUUAGUGUUGCAAAAAUAGUAAGAGGGGACCCAAUAUUGUUAGGAGCUGGGCCACAUUAUUGCCAAGAGGGAAAGGAAGCAUAUUUUAGGGAGAACAUGAUUUCCCUACCCACUGUGCAUUCCUGAUGCAGUACUUACUCAACCAGCCCCCUUGAAACUCUUGUGUUCUGGUCUCCUUUGUUUCUUUUUUUCUCCUAAUG
This is an RNA transcript of Zalophus californianus (California sea lion), 2245 nucleotides long. It is a transcript of the gene named SH3 domain containing GRB2 like 3, endophilin A3, with no coding region annotated. The record is from RefSeq and is a predicted model, not a curated record. NCBI's taxonomy places the organism in Eukaryota, Metazoa, Chordata, Mammalia, Carnivora, Otariidae. The transcript is spliced from 10 exons.